This 1067-nucleotide ribosomal RNA is filed under the name Klebsiella oxytoca. RNAcentral describes it as "bacterial LSU rRNA". It matches the Rfam family "Bacterial large subunit ribosomal RNA", at positions 1747 to 2825 of the family's 2925-position model. Lineage: Bacteria; Pseudomonadati; Pseudomonadota; Gammaproteobacteria; Enterobacterales; Enterobacteriaceae. The record is from RNAcentral.
GGAGCUGAAAUCAGUCGAAGAUACCAGCUGGCUGCAACUGUUUAUUAAAAACACAGCACUGUGCAAACACGAAAGUGGACGUAUACGGUGUGACGCCUGCCCGGUGCCGGAAGGUUAAUUGAUGGGGUUAUCCUCGCGGAGAAGCUCUUGAUCGAAGCCCCGGUAAACGGCGGCCGUAACUAUAACGGUCCUAAGGUAGCGAAAUUCCUUGUCGGGUAAGUUCCGACCUGCACGAAUGGCGUAAUGAUGGCCAGGCUGUCUCCACCCGAGACUCAGUGAAAUUGAACUCGCUGUGAAGAUGCAGUGUACCCGCGGCAAGACGGAAAGACCCCGUGAACCUUUACUAUAGCUUGACACUGAACACUGGUCCUUGAUGUGUAGGAUAGGUGGGAGGCUUUGAAGUGUGGACGCCAGUCUGCAUGGAGCCAUCCUUGAAAUACCACCCUUUAAUGGCUGGUGUUCUAACGUGGGCCCCUAAUCGGGGUUGCGGACAGUGUCUGGUGGGUAGUUUGACUGGGGCGGUCUCCUCCUAAAGAGUAACGGAGGAGCACGAAGGUCAGCUAAUCCUGGUCGGACAUCAGGAGGUUAGUGCAAUGGCAUAAGCUGGCUUGACUGCGAGCGUGACGGCGCGAGCAGGUGCGAAAGCAGGUCAUAGUGAUCCGGUGGUUCUGAAUGGAAGGGCCAUCGCUCAACGGAUAAAAGGUACUCCGGGGAUAACAGGCUGAUACCGCCCAAGAGUUCAUAUCGACGGCGGUGUUUGGCACCUCGAUGUCGGCUCAUCACAUCCUGGGGCUGAAGUAGGUCCCAAGGGUAUGGCUGUUCGCCAUUUAAAGUGGUACGCGAGCUGGGUUUAGAACGUCGUGAGACAGUUCGGUCCCUAUCUGCCGUGGGCGCUGGAGAAUUGAGGGGGGCUGCUCCUAGUACGAGAGGACCGGAGUGGACGCAUCACUGGUGUUCGGGUUGUCAUGCCAAUGGCAUUGCCCGGUAGCUAAAUGCGGAAGAGAUAAGUGCUGAAAGCAUCUAAGCACGAAACUUGCCCCGAGAUGAGUUCUCCCUGACUCCUUGAG